RNAcentral lists this ribosomal RNA (305 nucleotides) under uncultured bacterium. RNAcentral's name for it is "bacterial SSU rRNA". It matches the Rfam family "Bacterial small subunit ribosomal RNA", at positions 334 to 652 of the family's 1533-position model. The record is from RNAcentral.
UUGUCCUACGGGACGCAGCAGUGGGGAAUAUUGGGCAAUGGAGGAAAAUAUGAACCAGCAAUGCCGCGUGAAUGAAGAAGGUCUUCGGAUUGUAAAGUUCUUUAGUCAGGGAAGAAAAAAAUGACGGUACCUGAAGAAUAAGCUCCGGCUAACUACGUGCCAGCAGCCGCGGUAAUACGUAGGGAGCAAGCGUUGUUCGGAAUGACUGGGCGUAAAGGGUGCGUAGGCGGUUAUACAAGUUAGAAGUGAAAUACCCAGGGCUUAACUCGGGUGCUGCUUCUAAAACUGUAAGACUUGAGUACAGU